CCAUUCUGAUUUAUUCGUGACGGUUCAGCACAUUCGUGAAGGUCGCCAGGCCUCCUUCAGGAACGGCUCGCACCCAGCCUUCAGGAACGUGGGUGCGUAAAAUACUGCCUUUGUUUUGGCUUGGGAGGGGACGAAGAGUCAAAAUCCCUAAACAGUUGUCCCCAUCUCCCUAGUUGCAUCCCGCCGCCUCCUCCGCGUCCGGCGCCGCCGCACCCCAUCUUGUGCUUGACCCCAAUCCCGCCGCUGCCGCCCCACGCCUCCAGCGCCGUCUCCAUCCCCAUGGAGGGCCGCUCCCUUGCCGUCCAGCCACUCCUACGACGCCUCCCUCUCGUCGAGGGGCUCCUCCCUCGCCGUCCAGCGCCGCCCCCUCGCCGUCCAACGGCUCCAGUGCCGCCUCCAUCCCGAUCGACGGGCGUCUCCCUCGCCGUCCAGCCACCCCAGCGCCGCCUCUCUCCCCGUUGACUGGGUCCUCCCUCGCCGUCCAGGUCUGCUUCCCUCGCCGUCUAGAUCUGAUUCCCACGCCGGCCAGCCGCCUCACCCUUCUGUCUCCCUCCCAGUCCAGCUCCUCCCACUACCGAGUCAAGUCUUGGCGAACUACAACCGACCUGAGGAGAGGAAGACCCAAAAAAAGAAAUCUGAGAGAAACAUAAAUUGGAAACUAGAGGAGUUCUGGGCAACUUUAUUAGUCUGAAUCCCUAGCUGAGAGUUCAGCAGUAGCCGCAAUGGGUCCGAGGCUAGCAUGUCAACUACCACGGCAAGGAAGGAGGCAACUUUCCCGCUACAUUCAUCCUCUGCAGUUUGAAACUCUGAAUGUAAUACACAUGCAACAAGCCUUAUUACCAAGAAACACGUGGAAUGUGAGGCGGCGGCGAAGCAUUAGCUAGCGCGGGUGCGUCACCUCUGUGGUAUUGUGGGCAAUCACGGUUUUGGCAAGCUCACUGGAAUCAAGUGAGGGCAGUGAGAUAACGACGAAUGUGGCAGCGAGAAAUGAUGGUUCUCCUGAUCUUCCUUUCUGUGGUAUCUUCUAAGGCAUCCCUGAUAUGUCUCUUUUUGGUUCUUAAAAUUUUCUUGCUAUGAAUAGUUCAUCUCCUAAAUAUAUCUUAAUUGUGUUUGUCUCUAGGAGCGCGACAUCGUAACCCAGACAAGUUCUUUCCAGAUUUAGAUAUAGCUCAACAUUAAAAUCGCAACUUCGUGAGAUUCUAAACCUGAAGGGAGAGCACUACGUAGCGUUCCUUUUUGAUAGUUCUCUUUGUCAUAUCUCAUUUGAUAGCUACAUCUAUGCCGGUGCUAAAUGCUUUUUACUUGGUUGCACUGCUGAAAUUGAGCUGAAUUACACUUCUACAACUUUGUAGCUAUAUGUGAGCCUCCCACUAAUUUUUUGACAGUUGCUUCGUUAGGUACACUCAUCAUUCAUGGUUUUUUAUUACCGUUUCUUAGCAUACAUGAUAUGCUUACCAACAGGUUCGUGGUACUACUGUCUUCGAACAUUUCAAAGCUUAAGACAUGGCAAACUGAUGAGUUGGAAAACUUUAUGAUGCUAUCACCAUAAUAGGUCCAUGUACUAAAACCCAGUGUAUAUAUAAUAGGUAUUUCCCGCUGACAAGUUAUUUUCUUUGUGAUUAUUAGGUUCCAAACCUGCUGUUUGAUGUUGCUGGUAUUAUGUUUGGUCAAUGGUAUACCUUCUGAGAGUUCUUCUGUGAAACUCUUUGAUUGGGAAGACCAGCAUCAAAGACUCGUAUUCAGGUCUGUUCUAUACAUAUUUUAUCAACUAAUCCUUAUUUUAGUUGUUUUCUAAGGUACUCUGGUCAUAGACUAUUGUAGUACAAGGUUCAGAGGUCCAACUUGUUUAAUUUCAUAUGCACACUUGAUACUGUUA
Molecule: long non-coding RNA, 1876 nt
Organism: Triticum urartu
Lineage: Eukaryota; Viridiplantae; Streptophyta; Magnoliopsida; Poales; Poaceae
Source: RefSeq, a predicted model, not a curated record